Molecule: ribosomal RNA, 422 nt
Filed under: Pelophylax cf. bedriagae
Lineage: Eukaryota; Metazoa; Chordata; Amphibia; Anura; Ranidae
Description: partial 12S ribosomal RNA
Rfam family: Bacterial small subunit ribosomal RNA
Source: RNAcentral
GGUCCUAGCCUUACUAUCAUCUGUUUCUCAUUUUACACAUGCAAGUCUCAGCACCCCAGUGAGAACGCCCUUUUAACCUACACCAGGAGAAGGAGCUGGCAUCAGGCACUAUCCCUGCCCAUAACACCUAGUCUCACCACACCCCCAAGGGUAAUCAGCAGUGAUAAAUCUUAAAUAUAAGCGACAGCUUGAUUUAGUUAGAGAAAAGAGGGCCGGCUAACCCGGUGCCAGCCGCCGCGGCUACACCGUGGGGCCCGAGCUGAUAGUCACCGGCGUUAAGCGUGAUUAAAGCCCUCAACAAUUAGGGUUAAAUUAAUAUUUAGUAGUGAUAAGCUUGUUAUUAAGAAAACCAUAAACGAAAGUUACCCUAAUUACACUUGAAUCCACGACAACUGGGAAAACAAACUGGGAUUAGAUCCCCC